GGAAGUAAGAGUCGUAACAAGGUCUCCGUAGGUGAACCUGCGGAGGGAUCAUUACAGAGUUCUCGCCCUACCGGGUAGAUCUCCCACCCACUGUUAUUGCUACUGUCGUUGCUUUGGCGGGCCGCCGGGCCCUGCCCGGCCGCCGGCCCCGGCUGGCGCGCGCCCGCCAAAGGCCCCUAAACUCUGAAUAUCAGUGUCGUCUGAGUACUAUACAAUAGUUAAAACUUUCAACAACGGAUCUCUUGGUUCUG
RNAcentral lists this unclassified non-coding RNA (251 nucleotides) under plant metagenome. RNAcentral describes it as "partial contains small subunit ribosomal RNA, internal transcribed spacer 1, and 5.8S ribosomal RNA". The stretch from base 1 to 54 matches the Rfam family "Eukaryotic small subunit ribosomal RNA", at positions 1778 to 1831 of the family's 1831-position model. The record is from RNAcentral.